AUACCUUUCUCGGCCUUUUGGCCUGGCUAAGAUCAAGUGUAGUAUCUGUUCUUAUCAGUUUAAUAUCUGAUACGUGGGUCAUUGACCCACAACGAUAUUAAAUUUAUUUUUUUAAGGGGAGGAUCCACCAAAGUAGCUGUUAUUGGGAUCCUUGAGCAUCGCCCUUGUGUUGCACUAUUGCAUUGCAUGGGCUAGGUGCACCCCCA
Molecule: small nuclear RNA, 206 nt
Organism: Beta vulgaris subsp. vulgaris (sugar beet)
Lineage: Eukaryota; Viridiplantae; Streptophyta; Magnoliopsida; Caryophyllales; Amaranthaceae
Rfam family: U2 spliceosomal RNA
About the family: U2 is a small nuclear RNA (snRNA) component of the spliceosome (involved in pre-mRNA splicing). Complementary binding between U2 snRNA (in an area lying towards the 5' end but 3' to hairpin I) and the branchpoint sequence (BPS) of the intron results the bulging out of an unpaired adenosine, on the BPS, which initiates a nucleophilic attack at the intronic 5' splice site, thus starting the first of two transesterification reactions that mediate splicing.
Source: Rfam